GUCCACGCCCUAACGAUGUCGACUGGUUGUUGGGUUUGACACUCUCAGUAACGAAGCUAACGCGUGAAGUCGACCGCCUGGGGAGUACGGCCGCAAGGUUAAACUCAAAGGAAUUGACGGGACCCGCACAAGCGGUGGAUUAUGUGGAUUAAUUCGAUGCAACGCGAAAACCUUACCUACCCUUGACAUGUCCGAGAGGCUGGAGAGAUCCAGCUGUGCCCGAAAGGGAAUCGGAACACAGGUGCUGCAUGGCUGUCGU
This 259-nucleotide ribosomal RNA is filed under the name uncultured bacterium. RNAcentral's name for it is "partial 16S ribosomal RNA". It matches the Rfam family "Bacterial small subunit ribosomal RNA", at positions 793 to 1055 of the family's 1533-position model. The record is from RNAcentral.